Long non-coding RNA from Vespula pensylvanica (western yellowjacket), 671 nucleotides. RefSeq lists it as uncharacterized. The record is from RefSeq and is a predicted model, not a curated record. The transcript has 2 exons. Lineage: Eukaryota; Metazoa; Arthropoda; Insecta; Hymenoptera; Vespidae.
AUAGAUAGAUAGAUUAAAAAAUGGUAUGCAUAAUUUAUCAUUUUCUGGAAAGUAAUGAAACGUGUCUUAUUAAAAGACAAAACAAGAUAUAUAAGACAGAAUAAUGGAAUAAAUUAAAUAUUGAUUAUGGAUUAUAAAAAAGUUCACGCGAUGAUAUAAACUGUUGGGCACGCUAAAUCUGGCGGCUCGACUCCAGGGCGGCCACGCUCGAGUCACAUUGUCAGAGCCGAGGAAAGAGGUUACACAGGGACUGAUGGAGAAGUUAGAAGAAAGAGAUCUAUAGAGAUCGCCAUUGUAUCUUGUCUACUAUUCGGUGUAUCCUGUGGUGUGUCCUAGGAUACCGGGACAUCGCGAAUUAACUAGCCGUAUUCCCUCGAUGAACAUCGGCUGUGACCUCAACGACAACGACGAGAUUGUCUGAAAAGAACCACUCUUCGCAUCGUCGAGCCUUAAUCGAGGUCGUGCUACCCAUAGUUUUUUCUUUAUAUCGUUGUAUUCCAGAAAAACGGAACGAUUCCUCAUCUCGAUGAUCCUUCUCCGCUCGACAGUUAUAGGGAAGUCAUAUCUUUUCAUAUAAUUUUAAUCACACUUUAAAAGAAACAUUUGUUAUCUUACUCAUAACAUAUUCUUCUGUGCUCCAAAAAAAUGUCGAAAUAAAUCAUUAGAUUCUA